AUGGGCACCUGGACCCUCUGCUGUAUAUUGCUUUGCCUCCUGGAGGCAGAGUCCACAGAGGUUGGUGUCAUGCAAACACCCAGGCAUGAGGUGACAGAGGUGGGACAAGCAGUAACUCUGAACUGUAAGCCAAUUUCAAACCAUAACAGCCUUUUCUGGUACAGACAAACUUCAAAACUGGGACUGGAGCUGCUUACUUACUUCCGUAACCAGGAGCAAAUUGACAGUUCAGGAAUGCCCAAGAACAGGUUCUCUGCAGAGAUGCCCAACAAAUUACUCUCCAUCCUGAAGAUCCAGCCCACAGAACCUGGUGACUCAGCAAUCUACUUCUGUGCCAGCAGCAUAGACACAGCACUACAGAAUCACCUGGCGUUGUACAGAAACCCUCCAGUACCAGAGUCCUCAGACUUCUGCUCCCUUCUCAACUCUCCACUGUGA
Suncus etruscus (white-toothed pygmy shrew) is the source of this 438-nucleotide non-coding RNA. Lineage: Eukaryota; Metazoa; Chordata; Mammalia; Eulipotyphla; Soricidae. The record is from the annotation of a RefSeq genome assembly.